UUAAAGCUCUGCCCUAGUUUCUAGUUCUACACAUCCCACCAUCGGUGUACUCCUCCGUAGCACUACCCGUCGAGUAAAUCUGUGUUUUGGGAAAACACAGAUUGUAGGUCUGCUCUAGUUUUCCAUCUCCCUUAUUUUCGAAUCUCAGGUUCAAUAUGAAACCAUUAAAGACUGAAGAUGAGGUGGGGUCGACUGUGAAGACUACUACCAAAUAUGCAUUCGUCGCGCCAGGUGCUAGAGGUGCUAUAGGAAAGGAAUGAGGACGAGGAGUUACUUUUGGCUCUUUUGCUACGUCUUUUAUCUCUUUGAGAUGGAUAUCAAAGUUCUUUUUGAACUGCUUCAAUAUUAUUUUAACCAGCUUGAUCAGUUAAUAUGCUGCAAAUUUUCUUGACACUUGUUAUAUCCGCUCCUUCCUUGGUAAAACUGUUACGUUACAGAGCACCAUAUAAGUUGGAUCAAGAGCACCAUCUAAACCCAUGUUUUGAUUCACUGCUCAACAAUCACAAGUCCCCCCUACGACAUCACCCGUUUCAACUGAAUGACCAUUGUUUUUGUCUGCUGACCAGUUAACUUAGUUGCAGAGAGGAAAUGGAACAAAUGGAGAGGAUACUUGCAUGCACAAUAUGUGAAAAAUAAUCCAAUCCAACAGGCUCUUAAGAAUAUGCCAAAGGGAGUAGAUAAGAAAGAAUGGGAGUGGUUAGUAAAAGAAAAUUUUACUUCAGAAAGUUUUCAGGUAUGUCUAGUGAUUUACUAGUCUAUUUCACCCAAUCAUCUGUAGCCUUAGAAGAUGAGAUGAAAGAAAUUAAGAAAAUAAAAGAAUUCUUUGUCGCUCAACAAUCAUAUACCCCGCCUACGACAUCGCCCGGUUCAACUGAAUGACCACUGUUUUUGUCUGCUAACCAAGUUAGUAAUAAUAUACCCGACUUUUUAAUUUAGUUUGUUGAUUUGCGUAUAGUCAAUUUCUAUCUUACACUAAUUCUAGCAGUUGCUUGACUUCACCACUAAUGAUGCUUGUUUCUAGCUCCGUACAUGCUCUAAAAGGUUGCUAUUGCUUCGUGAUCUGUUUGACAUGUGUGUUUGUCAUUUCUGUUUUUUACCUUGUUUCUCUAGCAUAUCAGAUCUCUUUCAGCUUAUUUGUGAUACCUGGUCAUGGUUGGGCUGUAUUUGAAAUCUAAUCUUUAAUAUAAGUGGUGAUGCCUUAAAUUCUUGUGUGCAAAAUUAAGAAGUGCAUACAGGAGUACUAAAGAGUUUUCAUUAAGUCAGUUACAGCUUUACAGUGCAAAAUAAAUGCUUUUAUUGAAGAAUUUUGAGGAAGAAUGAUAGCCUUCUUUUAUGGUUCGCGUCUGCUGCAUCUUUAAGUUCAAAGUUCGUUUAUUCUUUUAUAUAUAGUUGGUGCUACUGUUAUCCUUUUCACAGUUCCUAUAUAUUUGUGGCAAUUUUGCUUCAAAGUCUAUAACAUUUGUUGUUUGCUUCAGAUAAACAUAAUAGUAAUUUUACUAUUUAAACUUCGGUUAUAAAGAUAGCAAACAGAACCGUGAACACCCUUAGCUCUAGCUCUAAAUCUAAGGAAUUACUAUUAAUGAAAGUGGAAUUGCUGCUAUGAUGUUGGAAAAAGCUUUAUUGAAGGUAGAUAAAAAAUAAUUUUCUACCAAAUGGAAAAAGUCUUAUUGUUGUUAAAUCUUGUUGCCUAUAUAUGUGUUUCCAGUUUAGUUUUUGUAAUGCCUGGUUUGGAACCAUAAAGAGUUCAAAGUCUCACUUGAUUUUGAAUACUUCUUGAUUUACAAGAGACUUUAGUAGAAGUUUAAAAGUAUUAACACCUAUAAUCGAUGGAAUUUUUUUUAGUUGGGAACAUAUAAUAGAUGGUAUUGCCACUGGAUAAUUUUUUUGAGGCUUUGCAAGAAUACCUUAUUGUUGUUGUUUCUGAGUAAUUGCCUUAAGAAUACCUCCUGUUGUUGCUACUGCUUGCAAAUUUCCACCUGAAGCCUGAAUUUGUGAAUAGCACUAAGCUGAUCCAACUGACUAGUACCAUGUAUUUUACCACCUGUAGGAGUGCCAUCAUGUUUCUUAGUAUUGGAUUGCUUUUUACAGUGAGAACUUGCCUUUGGAGUUGCAUUAUCCUUGUGCAACUCCAGCCCUGCAGUUCUAUUGGGAUCUUGAUAUGCAAAAGAUAUGUCAACCUCCUGCUCCUUGUGCUGCUGCUUUUGUGUAUUGUCAUCAGUAUGCUAUAUGACUUUUAAUAGGUAUUUUUGUUGUUGUUUUGCAUAAACUGGUGCUGCAUCAUGUUUUAUCUAAUUUGUUACCAGCGAAUGAUAAAUGCAGUUCAGGCAGCUAGCUACUAAAGCUUAAUCAUAUGCUUCCACCAUCUCUUUCAAUCGAACUUAUGUAAAAUCACUUUCUUACUGCUUAACUGUUUGACAAGUACUCAAGGGAUUUUGUGAAACUCAUUCACUUGCAAGUUGCAAAGCUUAAAGUUCGAUAUUAAGAUCUAUGAUGAUCAAUGUGCAUUUAGAUAGUAUUAAAGAAAUCGAGAAAGUUCACAAGGAAAGUACACUUUUAACCCUAUCCUCUAUGCUUUAUUCCUUCUAUGCAAUUUAGUAGUCUUUUCCUAUCUAUGAAUAUGAAUAGGACAGAUAAACUUUCAUCUAUUCGAAGGGUGGAACUAAUAGUGUUCAUUUCGUUGAAGGUUAACUUAGUUGAUGACUUCAACAUACUACAAAAAUACACUUGAUAAGAGGAAAAAAACUUACUACACAACGCUUGUCUGAAGCCAGAUUAACUCAUCUGGUCAGUGGUCAGUUUGAUGUUACUUCAAAGUCAUGCAUCAUUCAGUUAUAUCUUGCAGAGAGAUCUGAUGAUUCGUUAUGCCAUUGGGAGAUGGCGUAGGUUUAUACUGAAUAUGUAGAAAGCAAUUUCUGAUUGAUCAGACUAAGUAGUUUUCAGUUUAGAAUUUAAACGCAGUCGCUUGUUCUGUUGUUCAUGCAACUGCAGUUUCUCUUCCCUUUUUUAUUUUGGUGCGAGUUGUUAAGACUGAUGAAAUGCUCUAUUCGGAAUUGAAGCACAUACGAAGUUGCGACAGCUUUUGCCUUGGCUCUAGGAGCCGAAAAACUAAUUUGUAUAAUAGACGGCCUAAUUCUUGAUGCGUCUAGCCGUCUGAUUCGUUUCGUAACUCUAUAAGAUGCUGAUAUGCUGGUCCGCAAAUGAGCUGAGCAAAGUGAGACUGCUGCUAAUUAUGUAAAAGCUGCUAGUCAGGAGGACUUCAAUCGUUUAGGUUACAAUGGUUCCAACGGAUCGCUCCCUUCCCAAAAUGGCAAUGGUUAUAGCCGAAGAUACAAUCCUACAUUUCAGAAUGGCAUUGGUUUUGACAAUGGUAAUGGGCUUUGGUCUACUGAACAAGGUUUUGCAAUUGGAGGACAAGAGAAACUAAGUCGGUCAUAUGGUUAUCUCUCAGAAUUAGCUGCUGCUGCUUUUGUUUGCCGAGGAGGUGUUCAAAGAGUGCACCUGCUGGAUGGCACUAUUGGUGGAGUUUUACUAAAGGAAUUGUUCCAAAGAGAUGGAGUUGGGUCAAUGGUUGCUAGGUUUUGAAGAUUGAAUUUGACAAGUCAAGAUGGAAGUUUAGAAGAUGUAGAAGCUCAUUAUUUAGCUAGGAAUGUUAUGCACUCGCUAUCUUAGUCUAUCUCGAGUGUUAAGCGAUGAUUUUUUGUUAAGGUGUCGAGCAAAUAUUGAAACUAACAUCAUGGGAUGUUAACAAUUUUAUUGUAAUUAAUAACUCUAUCUUCCUCUUUAUAUAUAUAACGCUUUUGUAUCUAGAUGUUUUAGUAGGAAUCCGAUAUUUAUUGAUAAAAUAAUUUUUUUGUGA
This is a long non-coding RNA of Lycium barbarum (goji berry), 3856 nucleotides long. RefSeq lists it as uncharacterized. Lineage: Eukaryota; Viridiplantae; Streptophyta; Magnoliopsida; Solanales; Solanaceae. The transcript has 5 exons. The record is from RefSeq and is a predicted model, not a curated record.